Molecule: ribosomal RNA, 2928 nt
Filed under: Cronobacter sakazakii
Lineage: Bacteria; Pseudomonadati; Pseudomonadota; Gammaproteobacteria; Enterobacterales; Enterobacteriaceae
Description: bacterial LSU rRNA
Rfam family: Bacterial large subunit ribosomal RNA
Source: RNAcentral
GGGUUGUGAGGUUAAGCGAACAAGCGUACACGGUGGAUGCCCUGGCAGUCAGAGGCGAUGAAGGACGUGCUAAUCUGCGAAAAGCGCCGGUAAGGUGAUAUGAACCGUUAUAACCGGCGAUGUCCGAAUGGGGAAACCCGGUGCACUUCGGUGCAUCAUCGUUAGCUGAAUACAUAGGCUAACGAAGCGAACCGGGGGAACUGAAACAUCUAAGUACCCCGAGGAAAAGAAAUCAACCGAGAUUCCCCCAGUAGCGGCGAGCGAACGGGGAACAGCCCAGAGCCUGAAUCAGCUUGUGUGUCAGUGGAACGGUCUGGAAAGGCCGGCGAUACAGGGUGACAGCCCCGUACACGAAGGCACACAGGCUGUGAGCUCGAUGAGUAGGGCGGGACACGUGAUAUCCUGUCUGAAGAUGGGGGGACCAUCCUCCAAGGCUAAAUACUCCUGACUGACCGAUAGUGAACCAGUACCGUGAGGGAAAGGCGAAAAGAACCCCGGCGAGGGGAGUGAAACAGAACCUGAAACCGUGUACGUACAAGCAGUGGGAGCCUUCGUAAGAGGGUGACUGCGUACCUUUUGUAUAAUGGGUCAGCGACUUAUAUUCUGUAGCAAGGUUAACCGUAUAGGGGAGCCGAAGGGAAACCGAGUCUUAACCGGGCGUUAAGUUGCAGGGUAUAGACCCGAAACCCGGUGAUCUAGCCAUGGGCAGGUUGAAGGUUGGGUAACACUAACUGGAGGACCGAACCGACUAAUGUUGAAAAAUUAGCGGAUGACCUGUGGCUGGGGGUGAAAGGCCAAUCAAACCGGGAGAUAGCUGGUUCUCCCCGAAAGCUAUUUAGGUAGCGCCUCGUGAAUUCAUCUCCGGGGGUAGAGCACUGUUUCGGCUAGGGGGCCAUCCCGGCUUACCAACCCGAUGCAAACUGCGAAUACCGGAGAAUGUUAUCACGGGAGACACACGGCGGGUGCUAACGUCCGUCGUGAAGAGGGAAACAACCCAGACCGCCAGCUAAGGUCCCAAAGUCAUGGUUAAGUGGGAAACGAUGUGGGAAGGCCCAGACAGCCAGGAUGUUGGCUUAGAAGCAGCCAUCAUUUAAAGAAAGCGUAAUAGCUCACUGGUCGAGUCGGCCUGCGCGGAAGAUGUAACGGGGCUAAACCAUGCACCGAAGCUGCGGCAGCGACGCUUAUGCGUUGUUGGGUAGGGGAGCGUUCUGUAAGCCUGUGAAGGUGUGCUGUGAGGCAUGCUGGAGGUAUCAGAAGUGCGAAUGCUGACAUAAGUAACGAUAAAGCGGGUGAAAAGCCCGCUCGCCGGAAGACCAAGGGUUCCUGUCCAACGUUAAUCGGGGCAGGGUGAGUCGACCCCUAAGGCGAGGCCGAAAGGCGUAGUCGAUGGGAAACAGGUUAAUAUUCCUGUACUUGGUGUUACUGCGAAGGGGGGACGGAGAAGGCUAUGUCGGCCGGGCGACGGUUGUCCCGGUUUAAGCGUGUAGGCUGACUUUCCAGGCAAAUCCGGAAAGUUAAGGCUGAGGCGUGAUGACGAGGCACCACGGUGCUGAAGUGACAAAUGCCCUGCUUCCAGGAAAAGCCUCUAAGCAUCAGGUAACAUCAAAUCGUACCCCAAACCGACACAGGUGGUCAGGUAGAGAAUACCAAGGCGCUUGAGAGAACUCGGGUGAAGGAACUAGGCAAAAUGGUGCCGUAACUUCGGGAGAAGGCACGCUGACAUGUAGGUGAAGCCCCUGCGGGUGGAGCUGAAGUCAGUCGAAGAUACCAGCUGGCUGCAACUGUUUAUUAAAAACACAGCACUGUGCAAACACGAAAGUGGACGUAUACGGUGUGACGCCUGCCCGGUGCCGGAAGGUUAAUUGAUGGGGUUAUCGCAAGAGAAGCUCCUGAUCGAAGCCCCGGUAAACGGCGGCCGUAACUAUAACGGUCCUAAGGUAGCGAAAUUCCUUGUCGGGUAAGUUCCGACCUGCACGAAUGGCGUAAUGAUGGCCAGGCUGUCUCCACCCGAGACUCAGUGAAAUUGAACUCGCUGUGAAGAUGCAGUGUACCCGCGGCAAGACGGAAAGACCCCGUGAACCUUUACUACAGCUUGACACUGAACAUUGAGCCUUGAUGUGUAGGAUAGGUGGGAGGCUUUGAAGCGUGGACGCCAGUCUGCGUGGAGCCGACCUUGAAAUACCACCCUUUAAUGUUUGAUGUUCUAACCUGGCGCCGUGAUCCGGCGUGGGGACAGUGUCUGGUGGGUAGUUUGACUGGGGCGGUCUCCUCCCAAAGUGUAACGGAGGAGCACGAAGGUCAGCUAAUCCUGGUCGGACAUCAGGAGGUUAGUGCAAUGGCAUAAGCUGGCUUGACUGCGAGAGUGACGGCUCGAGCAGGUGCGAAAGCAGGUCAUAGUGAUCCGGUGGUUCUGUAUGGAAGGGCCAUCGCUCAACGGAUAAAAGGUACUCCGGGGAUAACAGGCUGAUACCGCCCAAGAGUUCAUAUCGACGGCGGUGUUUGGCACCUCGAUGUCGGCUCAUCACAUCCUGGGGCUGAAGUAGGUCCCAAGGGUAUGGCUGUUCGCCAUUUAAAGUGGUACGCGAGCUGGGUUUAGAACGUCGUGAGACAGUUCGGUCCCUAUCUGCCGUGGGCGCUGGAGAAUUGAGGGGGGCUGCUCCCAGUACGAGAGGACCGGAGUGGACGCAUCACUGGUGUUCGGGUUGUCAUGCCAAUGGCACUGCCCGGUAGCUAAAUGCGGAAGAGAUAAGUGCUGAAAGCAUCUAAGCACGAAACUUGCCCCGAGAUGAGUUCUCCCUGAGACUGUAAGUCUCCUGAAGGAACGUUGAAGACGACGACGUUGAUAGGCCGGGUGUGUAAGCGCAGCGAUGCGUUGAGCUAACCGGUACUAAUGAACCGUGAGGCUUAACCUUACAACGCCAAAGAAGU